This 379-nucleotide ribosomal RNA is filed under the name uncultured soil bacterium. RNAcentral's name for it is "bacterial SSU rRNA". It matches the Rfam family "Bacterial small subunit ribosomal RNA", at positions 26 to 411 of the family's 1533-position model. The record is from RNAcentral.
AGAUUGAACGCUGGCGGCAUGCCUAACACAUGCAAGUCGAACGGGAGUAGCAAUACUCUAGUGGCGGACGGGUGAGGAAUACGUAGGAAUUUGCCCUUAAGUGGGGGAUAACCCGGGGAAACCCGGAUUAAUACCGCAUGACCUCGAAAGAGCAAAGUGGGGGAUCGCAAGACCUCACGCUUUUGGAGAAGCCUACGUCGGAUUAGCUAGUUGGUGAGGUAAUGGCUCACCAAGGCGACGAUCCGUAACUGGUCUGAGAGGAUGAUCAGUCACACCGGAACUGAGACACGGUCCGGACUCCUACGGGAGGCAGCAGUGGGGAAUAGUUGGACAAGUGGGCGCAACGCCGUAGAUCCAGCAAUCGCCGCGUGUGUGAAGA